This 71-nucleotide transfer RNA is filed under the name Marmoricola endophyticus. RNAcentral's name for it is "tRNA-Ser". Lineage: Bacteria; Bacillati; Actinomycetota; Actinomycetes; Propionibacteriales; Nocardioidaceae. The record is from RNAcentral.
CAGGCCGCGGGCGGGCUGUGGCUGGCUCGGGUGCUGGCCGAGAACUCGCUGUACGAGCCGGUGCGGCUCGC